Molecule: long non-coding RNA, 199 nt
Filed under: Vigna radiata
Lineage: Eukaryota; Viridiplantae; Streptophyta; Magnoliopsida; Fabales; Fabaceae
Description: long non-coding RNA (VRAD_LNC012988)
Source: RNAcentral
UUUUUUUUAAACGUGGCCUGUUUUUAUUAAAAGAAUAAUUAGUGAUGUGGCAUCAGAAUUUGGAUUUAUCCUUAGGGUUCUUGAAACUCUUUCUCCUCUCGAAUCACUCUGCAAUUCCAUUCCUCCAUCCCACUCUAUUUCAUAAGCAUCGUGCUCUUCCACCAUGAAUGACCCUUCCUUUUCAAUCACCUUUUUCACU